Molecule: ribosomal RNA, 376 nt
Filed under: uncultured bacterium
Lineage: Bacteria
Description: bacterial SSU rRNA
Rfam family: Bacterial small subunit ribosomal RNA
Source: RNAcentral
GAAGGGUGCAAGCGUUACUCGGAAUUACUGGGCGUAAAGCGUGACGUAGGUGGUUUGUUAAGUCUGAUGUGAAAGCCCUGGGCUCAACCUGGGAAUGGCAUUGGAAACUGGCUUGACUAGUAGUGCGGUAGAGGGUAGUGGAAUUCCCGGUGUAGCAGUGAAAUUGCGUAGAUAUCGGGAGGAACAUCUGUGGCGAAGGCGACUACCUGGACCAGCACUGACACUGAGGCACGAAAGCGUUGGGGAGCAAACAGGAUUAGAUACCCUGGUAGUCCACGCCCUAAACGAUGCGAACUGGAUGUUGGGAGCAACUUGGCUCUCAGUAUCGAAGCUAACGCGUUAAGUUCGCCGCCUGGGAAGUACGGUCGCAAGACUG